RNAcentral lists this ribosomal RNA (207 nucleotides) under uncultured bacterium. RNAcentral's name for it is "partial 16S ribosomal RNA". It matches the Rfam family "Bacterial small subunit ribosomal RNA", at positions 568 to 774 of the family's 1533-position model. The record is from RNAcentral.
CGCGUAGGCGGUUUUUUAAGUCGGAUGUGAAAGCCCCGGGCUCAACCUGGGAACUGCAUUCGAUACUGGGAGACUUGAGUACGAGAGAGGGAGGUAGAAUUCCACGUGUAGCGGUGAAAUGCGUAGAUAUGUGGAGGAAUACCAGUGGCGAAGGCGGCCUCCUGGCUCGAUACUGACGCUGAGGUGCGAAAGCGUGGGGAGCAAACA